GCCAUACCUGGAGCAUAUGGAAGUUUCUGGGCCAGGGAUUGAAUCUAAACCACAGCUUUGACGUACACUGCAGUGGCAGCAAUGCCAGAUGCUUUAACCUACUGCGCUGGGCCAGGGAUCCCACCCGUACCUCUGCAGCGACCCAAGCCGAUGCAGUUAGAUUCUCAACCCACAGCACCACAGCGGGAGCUCCCCGUGGUAGAUUUCCUGAGCAGCUUACGUACCUUUCUCUCUCCUCUGCCCCUUCCUCGGGUACUCAGGUCCCACUAAUACAGUUUCGGCGUCUAGGACGUAAAUUUGUAGUCAGGCCUUUGGGUAGCUAGGCCACCUUCAAACUCCUGUCUCUGUGAGCCCUUGUCAUUGUAGGCUGUUGUAUUUGUUUUUCAAAGUUCUCUCCUAUAUUUUCUCACCGGUUCUUCACAGUCAGGUUCUUAGAAGGCUUGUGCUAUUUGAUAAUCUCUGUUUUACAGAUGAAAACUCUGGUCCAGGGAGGCUGGGUAGCUAGUCCAAGGGCACGAGCAGGUCAUUCCAAAGCUCCGAGUGACAUCUCUUUCUUCUGACUCUGAAUUGUUGCUCUUCAAUCACAUCUCAAGUGCACACAACCCUGGGACUGGAGUCAGGCCACAGGUGAAAUUCGCACCAAUGGGAAACAGGUCAACCUCUUACCUGUCUUCUCCCCAGGGAGUGAGUUGUUCUCCUGGGACCCUCGAAGGAAGCUGCAGAGGAAGCUGUUUCCUGAACAGUGAGAUGUGACCGCCCAACAGGGGUGGGCACUGGUGACACCGGAGCCUUCGGUUCCCCUCCCGUCCCUCACAGCCCUCGACCCAGGCCUUGGCCGUGUCCCACCAGUGGCGUCUGACUCAGGAGCUCCACUCCGCGGUGCAGGGGUUUGCAGUGAAGCUUCACCGGACCAGCAGGGGCGAGGGGGCAUGGCCUUCACCUGCCAUAAUUAAGCUUUGUCCUCUGUGUCGUGAGCAAAUGCAGCCCACAGAAUCCUGAGGCGCACAGGAUUGCCAUGUAGUGUGUGGUAGGAGGGCCUCUGGGGAGUGAAAAUAAGGUGAUGAGGUCCAACCUCAUUUGUGACCUAGAACCUCGAUACCCAAAUGGUCCACAGCCCAGCAGAUCAGCAUCACCUGCGGGGGGGUCCAGAAGCACAGAAACUCAGGCCUCAUCGGAGACUUCGGGAAUCAGAGUCUGCAUUUUAACAGGAUGCCCGAAGCCUAACUCCUAGGCCUGUCCCUGGCUCCCUCCCUCUCUCUCCCAACUCCUCCGUAUCUGCCUCUGUCACAGGAGGGGCCUCCUAUACACCAUCCCCGUGGAGUCUAGAACAGUGUCUUGCUCCUGCCAUUUCUGGAUGAGUUUUUUGAAUACGAUUUUUUGAGUAUGGGAAAGAACACCGGAUAAAACGAUUGUGUGAGUGAAAGUAAUGCAAAGUGUAAGCGCUACCAUUUACAGAUAAGGAGAGACUUCUUGGAGGAGGUGACGUUUUUCAUUUCUUUUGGCCAGGGGGACCCUGACUUAGCACAGAUGAAGGUGAAAGGCCAACCGAGUUGGGGAGGGUUGCAUAAUGGUCUGAGUAAAUCAUUGCUCAAUGUGGAAGUGAAGUGACGGUGCUGAUAGAUUUCCUGUGACCAUAGGACAGAUGAGCAAGAACGUUCAAUUCUGGGCAUUUCUGCUUUCCACCCAGGGAUUAUUCCUUGGGCCAUUAUCGCUGCAGUGGAUGAAGGUACUUGCUAAAAAUAGGCUACUAAUGUUUUCCUUAGAAUUACAGCACACGUCAGAGGAGACUAAUGACCCAGCGCUGUACUGUUUUCUUUUCAUUUCAGCUGGCCUCAAACAAAUAAACCCGAUAAAUAUUAUCAGAGUCACAUAUGCUCAUUAAGGGCUAUAGUCAGUGGCUAUGUUUGUUUUACUGUGUAAUAGAUGAUGAAACCAUGGUGAUGAGCAGAGUAGGCUGGAAUGGUUUUCAUAUUUUCCCAUCUUAACACUGGAGACUGGCUCCUUGUUUUUUCACUGGCUUGUAUUAGAAAUAGAACAGCUUACUAAAACACUUCUUCAUCUUGACAUGUCUUAAAGCCGUCCUCACUCACAUCUUCUGAUCUAGUUCAGGGAUACAUGAUAAAUGUUUGAAAGUGGUCCUUAAAUAUAGCGUUGAAUGGGAAACAAGUACUUACAGGGUGUGGACACUCAUGUAAAAGCUUUCAUUUGAGAGCAAGUAUCCUCCGUAAUUGAGGAUUUGGGUCUUAAUUGUUUUAUGGGUUAGAGGACAGAACGGGAGUCAUGCUGUAUAAAAUUUAUGUUAUAAAAAGUCAAGACAUACUACGCUGGCCAAAUGUUUUUUUUAAGGUUUCAGGCCUGUAAAAGGAAAUAAAUUCCGUGAUUAUUUCCUAAUGAAAAUACAAUACACUUUCCUAGCAGGUCCUGACAGCGUUCGUAUUUUUAAAGAGACCAUGAAAAACAAUGUCUCUUCUCAUUCUUCCAUAAAUUCUUACCAAAAUGGUAAAAUUGUACAUGGAAUUAGGCUGUUGUACGGUUUUCUAGCUCCUUCUUGCUCUAAUGCCUUCUUCGGUCAACAGAGUGGUCUUUCUAAAAAAUACCAUCUGAUCAUGCCCUCCUCCAGGUGAAAACUUGGAGGGCUCCAUAUUAACAUAAUCCAAGCCCUUUGCAGGGUGCAGGUGACGCUUCCUGCCGCGGCCUCUCUUAGCUCCUCUCACAAUGCUCCUUUCCCUCCUGUGUUACUCGCCCCCUAAGUAACUCACUGUCAUCCUCAACGUCUUAGGUCCUUCAACCUCCAAAUAACCUCCCACUUGAUGUUCUGGUAAAAACUGUUUUCAUUAUGGCUCCACUCAGAUACAACUUCUGUGAUUUUUUUUUAAAAAUUUACCCGGAAACAUCUAGCCAUCCCUCCUCUGUGUUCCCCUAACACACUCUCCAGGCACAACAGUCCCAUCGUCCUGCACCUUCACCAUGUUUUAAUGCCUACCUGCCCCCCCCCCCGCCAACCUGCACAUCCCCUGCUGAGAAUUGGGGGGUUUUUUGUAAGUAAAAGCUCAACGCUGAUAUAAUUCCUGUCCCCAAGCAGGUGCUAUAAAUGUCCGUUUAAAGCUCAACUAAAUAAAUGAAUCAGAAACUGCUCCUCAUGAAGAAGGGACAUGCCCAGAGCCUUUUUAUGCGGUGAUGCUAGUUGCAGUUUCAGACGGGAGGUGCAGACUGAAGCCAGGGAUAGGUUCUGCCCGAGUGUCCGAUUAGCUUUUAGUUUCUAGUUAAACCACAUGUGCCCAAGAGAGCAUGGAGUGAUUACUUGGAGAACCACCACCUACUCUGUCCACAUAGCGUGAUAAACAGAUACACUUUCUUCUUUGAAAAUGUUCCCUCCAGUCUCUGCGGAGACCUGAGACACGUCCAUUUAGAAGAACAAAGGGGGACGAACGAGUCACCAACUGGGCAGUAGGAGUUGUCUGUUCAGCAGCCGCUUCCUGUAACCUGUGGUUACUUUCCAAACAGAUUUCAGGGACCUGAUUUGGGGGCGAGGUUAAUCUUCCAGGGAAGGCCGCCUAAGACCAAAGAAAAGGGCUCACACUUGAAAUUGAUGAUGGUUCCACCCCCAGGGUCCAAAUCUGCUCUUCGGUUGCACACUCAAAGCCAUUUAAAAAUGCAGCCUGGGAGUGUGGGGAUUGUAGACCCGAACUGCUGCCUUUGGAGCGGAUAAGCAAUGAGACCCUGCGUAUGGCGCAGGGAACUCGAUCUGUGGGGUGGAAUGUGAUGGAGGGUAAUGUGAGAAAAAGCAUGUAUAUAUGUAUGUAUAACUGGGUCACUUUGCUGCACAGCAGAAAUUGACAGAACAUUGCACAUCAACUGUCAUAAAAAUUUUUAAAAAUACAUAAAAAUGGCAGCCAUCAGAACAUAGUUACAGAAACACAGAACGACACAGAUAAAGGAGUCUUAGAGAUAAACUUGUCAAUGCCCUUUAUUAUUCGGAUGUGGCCAUAACAGCUUAGAGACAAUCCUAUUGCUGUAAAGGGUUUGGGGGGGAAUGGGUGAAGAUGAUUCCUAGCAGUGGACCUGUGCAGGGAGUGGCUAGCCACCGGUUCUGUGGUCCGGUAAGCCUGGCUUCAUCACUUAUCACCUGUCUGGCCAUAGGCAGGUUCCUGAACCUCUUCGAGGCUCAGUUUCUUCAACUGUAAAAAGCACCCCUGCCAGCUACCUACAGAGCAUCAAGCUCAGCGCCUGAAAAAGCAGGUCUCCUCAGUAACAGAUGGCUGCCGUUAUCACAGUGGAAAUAGGGAGAUGUGGCUCAUAUUUGGGGUGGACUUCUGUCCUAAGCCUCCACAGCAUCCAAAUCUUAAUAUUUGGGAGGAAGCGUGGGGGAGAGGAGGAAGGCUUGCCUUCCACCCUGGAAGCUCUAAGGGAGGGACCAGUCAGCAGGAGCUGGGACACGGUGGAGACCAGCCAAUCAGAACUUCUGCCUGGGGCCCUGCAUCUGGAAGUGACCAGCUGCAAGGGCAGUGCCCAGGCUCCUGGCCUGACUGCGUCCUGCAGGAGGGCCAGCUGCCCGGCCCCUCCAUGUGCUCUGAGCCUGGCGUUUCUCUGACCUCCUCCAGCGAAGUCCUCUUGUAUUUAGGUUGAAUCAACUUGACUUCUACUUCUGACCAGUGAGACUCUCAUGGUCGAUAUAAUUCUGGGUAGAGGCAGACAAUUUUUUUCCCAGCUCUUCACCAUCCACUGUUCAGGCACUCUGUACUUCAUCAUCUCCCAAAUUAUAACCAUGGCUUAACUUCCUUUGUUCAUGGACGAAGAGGAGUCUCCAAAAAUGAGGACGUGCAGGCGAUCUGAGAGGUUAACUCUAAUUCACACGAGUGAGCCGUUAAAUACACGAACCUAGGCUGAGAGUUGAAGGGUCUGAUCUGAAUGGCAGCGGGGAGAAGCCCGACAACCCGGGCUCACUAAGUGGGAGCUGGUUGCAAGAGAAAUUGUCAUCUAGGGCAGGCAUCACCCUGCACUAAGUAACCAGUGAUUUUCCAAUGUUUUUUAGUUGGAGAGAAAUAUAGGACAGAUGUGUUGGCUCUAGAAACAAUAAAAACAGCUCCUUAAAUCACCAAGAAGCAGUGGGGUGGGGGGAAGGUAACACAAUACCGGAUAAAUCAGGAGGGAGUGGGCAGGACUGUCUGUCACGGUCAAGGGUAGCAGGGGAUGAUGCGAUCGGCAGCAGUAAACAGCCUGGGGGUGAGGAAACCUUGGACCACAAGCAUCAGCCAAAGCAGAAAGCUUCCCUGAACCCCACCCUGAAGGGGAAAGAUACACAACUGGCGGAAGAGGGAUAAGAUGCUAACAGAAACC
RNAcentral lists this long non-coding RNA (5337 nucleotides) under Sus scrofa (pig). RNAcentral describes it as "lncRNA (ENSSSCG00000062093.1)". Lineage: Eukaryota; Metazoa; Chordata; Mammalia; Artiodactyla; Suidae. The record is from RNAcentral.